GAUUCUUCGUGUUUCCAAGGCUUUUUAGGACUUCUUCAUAUCACAUUUUGUCUUUUCCAUCUAUCUUCUUUAUUUUUUUAUUUAUUGUUCCAAUCUUUGAUUUAUUAUUCUAUUUAUUUUAGUUUUUUUAUUUUUUUAUUUGACUUAGAUUUGAUUCUGUUUCAGGUUUUUGCAAUAUCCAAUUUUCUUUCCGAAGGUCUAAAGCCUUAAGUCAAAUUCGUGACUUAGACAACUUUACGAUCCUAUUUCUGCUAUCAUCCAUAUUAGAAGGGGGAAUUUCUAAAGCUUGUUUACACUUUCUCCCUUUUAAAUUAUCAUCUUCUUCUUCAGUC
This 332-nucleotide long non-coding RNA is filed under the name Gossypium raimondii (Peruvian cotton). RNAcentral describes it as "long non-coding RNA (GRAI_LNC009401)". Lineage: Eukaryota; Viridiplantae; Streptophyta; Magnoliopsida; Malvales; Malvaceae. The record is from RNAcentral.